UCGGAUAUGGUGUAACGGCUAACAUUGCCGCCUCUCAUGAAGUUACUCAGGCUUAACGCGGCAGCUCGGGGUUCGAUUCCCCGUAUCCGAA
Molecule: non-coding RNA, 91 nt
Organism: Armillaria luteobubalina
Lineage: Eukaryota; Fungi; Basidiomycota; Agaricomycetes; Agaricales; Physalacriaceae
Source: the annotation of a GenBank genome assembly